GACGAACGCUGGCGGCGUGCUUAACACAUGCAAGUCGAACGGAAAGGCCUUUUCGGAGGUACUCGAGUGGCGACCGGGUGAGUAACACGUGGGUGAUCUGCCCUGCACUCUGGGAUAAGCCUGGGAAACUGGGUCUAAUACCGGAUAGGACCGCACUUUAGUGUGUGUGGUGGAAAGUUUUUUCGGUGUAGGAUGAGCCCGCGGCCUAUCAGCUUGUUUGUGGGGUAAUGGCUUACCAAGGCGACGACGGGUAGCCGGACUGAGGGGUUGGUCGGCCACACAGGGUCCUAGGGGAGGCCCAGACUCCGAAGGGAGGAAGCAGGGCGGAAUAUUGCACAAGGCGCGCAGGCCUGAUGCAGCGACGCCGCGGGGGGGAUGACGCCCUUCGUGUUGUAAACUCCUUUCGCCAGGGACGAAGCGUUUUGUGACGGUACCUGGAGAAGAAGCACCGGCUAACUACGUG
Molecule: ribosomal RNA, 463 nt
Filed under: uncultured bacterium
Lineage: Bacteria
Description: partial 16S ribosomal RNA
Rfam family: Bacterial small subunit ribosomal RNA
Source: RNAcentral